AUAUACAGACACACUACCCUGAAUGUGCCUGAUCUCAUCUCAUCUCAGAAGCUAAGCAGGGUCAGACCUGGUUAGCACUUGGAUGGGAGACUGCCUGGGAAUACAGAUUGCUGUAGGCU
Mesocricetus auratus (golden hamster) is the source of this 119-nucleotide ribosomal RNA. Lineage: Eukaryota; Metazoa; Chordata; Mammalia; Rodentia; Cricetidae. The record is from Ensembl.